RNAcentral lists this ribosomal RNA (571 nucleotides) under uncultured fungus. RNAcentral describes it as "eukaryotic LSU rRNA". It matches the Rfam family "Eukaryotic large subunit ribosomal RNA", at positions 62 to 648 of the family's 3401-position model. The record is from RNAcentral. Lineage: Eukaryota; Fungi.
AAACCAACAGGGAUUACCUCAGUAACGGCGAGUGAAGCGGUAACAGCUUAAAUUUGAAAUCUGGCUCUUUCAGGGCCCGAGUUGUAAUUUGUAGAAGAUGCUUUGGGGAUGGCCCUGGUCUAAGUUCCUUGGAACAGGACGUCAUAGAGGGUGAGAAUCCCGUACGUGACCGGUGGCCUGACCCGUGUAAAGCUCUUUCGACGAGUCGAGUUGUUUGGGAAUGCAGCUCAAAAUGGGUGGUAAAUUUCAUCUAAAGCUAAAUAUUGGCCAGAGACCGAUAGCGCACAAGUAGAGUGAUCGAAAGAUGAAAAGCACUUUGGAAAGAGAGUUAAACAGUACGUGAAAUUGUUGAAAGGGAAGCGCUUGCAACCAGACUUGGGCGCGGGUAAUCAUCUGGUGUUCUCACCGGUGCACUUGCUCGCGUACAGGCCAGCAUCGGUUCAGGUGGUGGGAUAAAGGCCUUGGGAAUGUAGCUUCUUUCGGGGAGUGUUAUAGCCCUCGGUGCCAUGCCGCCUACCUGGACCGAGGACCGCGCUUCGGCUAGGAUGCUGGCGUAAUGGUUGUAAGCGGC